UAAGCGCAUACGGUGGAUGCCUUGGCAGUCAGAGGCGAUGAAAGACGUGGAAGCCUGCGAUAAGGUUCGGGGAGCUGGCAAACGAGCUGUGAUCCGGACAUUUCUGAAUGGGGAAACCCACCCGAUUUCGGUCGGGUACCUUGCACUGAAUACAUAGGUGUAAGGGGCGAACCGGGGGAACUGAAACAUCUAAGUACCCCGAGGAAAAGAAAUCAACCGAGAUUCCCUAAGUAGCGGCGAGCGAACGGGGAUUAGCCCUUAAGCUAAACAACUGGUAGGAGAAGGCUCUGGAAAGUGCCGCCAUAGUGGGUGAUAGCCCCGUAUCCGAAACCUGAGUUUAGUGAAAUCGAGUAGGACGGGACACGUGGUAUCCUGUCUGAAUAUGGGGGGACCAUCCUCCAAGGCUAAAUACUCCUGACUGACCGAUAGUGAACCAGUACCGUGAGGGAAAGGCGAAAAGAACCCCUGUGAGGGGAGUGAAAUAGAUCCUGAAACCGUAUGCGUACAAGCAGUCGGAGCAGACUUGUUCUGUGACGGCGUACCUUUUGUAUAAUGGGUCAGCGACUUAUGUUCAGUGGCGAGGUUAACCGUUUAGGGGAGCCGUAGGGAAACCGAGUCUGAAUAGGGCGAUUUAGUCGCUGGGCAUAGACCCGAAACCGGGCGAUCUAUCCAUGAGCAGGUUGAAGGUUGAGUAACAUCAACUGGAGGACCGAACCCACUGUCUUUGAAAAGCCAGGGGAUGACUUGUGGAUCGGAGUGAAAGGCUAAUCAAGCCCGGAGAUAGCUGGUUCUCCCCGAAAGCUAUUUAGGUAGCGCCUCGGACGAAUACCACAGGGGGUAGAGCACUGUUUCGGCUAGGGGGUCAUCCCGACUUACCAACCCGAUGCAAACUCCGAAUACCUGUGAGUACUAUCCGGGAGACACACGGUGGGUGCUAACGUCCAUCGUGAAGAGGGAAACAACCCAGACCGCCAGCUAAGGUCCCCAAGUACCAGUUAAGUGGGAAACGAUGUGGGAAGGCUCAGACAGCUAGGAGGUUGGCUUAGAAGCAGCCAUCCUUUAAAGAAAGCGUAAUAGCUCACUAGUCGAGUCGGCCUGCGCGGAAGAUGUAACGGGGCUCAAACUGGUCACCGAAGCUGCGGCUGCAUACUUUGUAUGCGGGGUAGGGGAGCGUUCUGUAAGCCUGCGAAGGUGAGUUGAGAAGCUUGCUGGAGGUAUCAGAAGUGCGAAUGCUGACAUGAGUAACGACAAUGCGGGUGAAAAACCCGCACGCCGGAAGACCAAGGGUUCCUGCGCAACGCUAAUCGGCGCAGGGUGAGUCGGCCCCUAAGGCGAGACCGAAAGGUGUAGUCGAUGGGAAACGGAUUAAUAUUUCCGUACCUUGGAUAGCUGCGAUGGAGAGACGGAGAAGGCUAGGUGAGCCGGGCGACGGUUGUCCCGGUUUAAGCGUGUAGGGAGUGGACUUAGGCAAAUCCGGGUCCACAAUUCUGAGACGCGACGACGACUGCUCUUUGAGAGCGGGAAGUCAUUGAUGCCCUGCUUCCAGGAAAAUCUUCUAAGCUUCAGGCUAUUCGAGACCGUACCCCAAACCGACACAGGUGGUCAGGUAGAGAAUACCAAGGCGCUUGAGAGAACUCGGGUAAAGGAACUAGGCAAAAUGGUGCCGUAACUUCGGGAGAAGGCACGCUGGUGGUAGGUGAGACCCCUUGCGGGUGGAGCUGACGCCAGUCGAAGAUACCAGGCCCCUGCGACUGUUUAUUAAAAACACAGCACUGUGCAAACACGAAAGUGGACGUAUACGGUGUGACGCCUGCCCGGUGCCGGAAGGUUAAUUGAUGGGGUUAGCAUUCGUGCGAAGCUCUUGAUCGAAGCCCCGGUAAACGGCGGCCGUAACAAUAACGGUCCUAAGGUAGCGAAAUUCCUUGUCGGGUAAGUUCCGACCUGCACGAAUGGCGUAACGAUGGGGGCGCUGUCUCUACCCGAGACUCAGUGAAAUUGAAAUCGCCGUGAAGAUGCGGUGUAUCCGCGGCUAGACGGAAAGACCCCGUGAACCUUUACUAUAGCUUUGCACUGGACUUUGAGCUUGCUUGUGUAGGAUAGGUGGGAGGCUUUGAAGCGUGGACGCCA
This 2127-nucleotide ribosomal RNA is filed under the name Fibrocapsa japonica. Its description in RNAcentral is "partial Bacterial large subunit ribosomal RNA". It matches the Rfam family "Bacterial large subunit ribosomal RNA", at positions 12 to 2173 of the family's 2925-position model. Lineage: Eukaryota; Raphidophyceae; Chattonellales; Chattonellaceae. The record is from RNAcentral.